Molecule: ribosomal RNA, 412 nt
Filed under: Trypanosyllis cf. krohnii PAC-2017
Lineage: Eukaryota; Metazoa; Annelida; Polychaeta; Phyllodocida; Syllidae
Description: partial 16S large subunit ribosomal RNA
Rfam family: Bacterial large subunit ribosomal RNA
Source: RNAcentral
GUGCUAAGGUAGCAUAAUAAUUUGUCUCUUAAUUUGAGAAUAGUAUGAAUGAAAAAACAAUAAGAAAGCUGUCUCACCGCAAACCAUAAAAAUUUAUACAAAGGUGAAAAAGCCUUUAUACAUCAAAAAGACAAAAAGACCCUAGAAGCUUUUAAAUUUAUAUCAUAAAUUAAUUAAAAUUUUUUAGCUGGGAGGGCAUAAAGUAUAUAAAACACUUUAAACUUAACAGAGCACUAAUCACCUUCUAUCAACCCCAAUAAGAAUACAAGUAAGCUACUCUAGGGGUAACAGGCUAAUACUCCUUAAGAGUACAUAUUGACAGGAGUGUUUGGCACCUCGAUGUUGGCUUAGGAAACUUAUUUUAUGCAGAAGUAAAAUCAAGGGGUUUGUUCAACCCAUAUCAUCCUACAUG